RNAcentral lists this ribosomal RNA (272 nucleotides) under uncultured bacterium. Its description in RNAcentral is "partial 16S ribosomal RNA". It matches the Rfam family "Bacterial small subunit ribosomal RNA", at positions 28 to 304 of the family's 1533-position model. The record is from RNAcentral.
GAUGAACGCUAGCGGCAGGCUUAACACAUGCAAGUCGAGGGGUAUAGUAGCAAUACUAGAGACCGGCGCACGGGUGCGUAACGCGUAUGCAACCUACCUUUUACAGAGGGAUAGCCCCAGAGAAAUUUGGAUUAAAUACCUCAUAGUGUUAUUAGAUGGCAUCAUUUGAUAACUAAAGUUCCAACGGUAAAGAUGGGCAUGCGUCCUAUUAGCUAGAUGGUAAGGUAACGGCUUACCAUGGCUACGAUAGGUAGGGGUCCUGAGAGGGAGAU